RNAcentral lists this ribosomal RNA (253 nucleotides) under uncultured bacterium. RNAcentral's name for it is "partial 16S ribosomal RNA". It matches the Rfam family "Bacterial small subunit ribosomal RNA", at positions 524 to 776 of the family's 1533-position model. The record is from RNAcentral.
UACGGGGGGGGCAAGCGUUGUUCGGAAUUACUGGGCGUAAAGGGCGCGUAGGCGGCCCUCUAAGUCGGACGUGAAAUCCCUCGGCUUAACCGAGGAACUGCGUCCGAUACUGAAAGGCUUGAAUCCGGGAGAGGGAUGUGGAAUUCCAGGUGUAGCGGUGAAAUGCGUAGAUAUCUGGAGGAACACCGGUGGCGAAGGCGGCAUCCUGGACCGAUACUGACGCUGAGGAGCGAAAGCCAGGGGAGCAAACGGG